RNAcentral lists this ribosomal RNA (476 nucleotides) under uncultured Glomus. RNAcentral's name for it is "SSU rRNA". It matches the Rfam family "Eukaryotic small subunit ribosomal RNA", at positions 569 to 1048 of the family's 1831-position model. Lineage: Eukaryota; Fungi; Glomeromycota; Glomeromycetes; Glomerales; Glomeraceae. The record is from RNAcentral.
AGCAGCCGCGGUAAUUCCAGCUCCAAUAGCGUAUAUUAAAGUUGUUGCAGUUAAAAAGCUCGUAGUUGAACUUCGGGGUUUACUCAUUGGUCAGGCUUAAUUGUCUGUACUGGUGAGAUGAAUCUCUACCUUCUGAAGAACUUUCAUGCCAUUAAUUUGGUGCGAUUGGAAAUCAGGACUGUUACUUUGAAAAAUUAGAGUGUUUAAAGCAGGCUAACGUCUGAAUACAUUAGCAUGGAAUAAUGAAAUAGGACGGAUUGAUUCUAUUUCGUUGGUUUCUAGGGUCACCGUAAUGAUUAAUAGGGAUAGUUGGGGCAUUAGUAUUCAAUUGUCAGAGGUGAAAUUCUUGGAUUUAUUGAAGACUAACUACUGCGAAAGCAUUUGCCAAGGAUGUUUUCAUUAAUCAAGAACGAAAGUUAGGGGAUCGAAGACGAUCAGAUACCGUCGUAGUCUUAACCAUAAAACUAUGCCGACUA